CGCAGCCCUCAGCGGGAGGUCUGGAUGCAGAAACCAAACACACCGUCAGGCACUGAAACACCUGCACACUGAGUAACAGUAGGAGCUCAGUUCGGCGCCGACUGGAGCCAGCUGUUCUCCGAGGUUCUUACAGAACCGGAUCAGGUCCUGGAACAUGGCGCUCUGGAUCCGGUCCCGGUGCUUCAGCUGCUGGAUGAUGUGCCCCCUCCAGGUCUCUGCGGACCGACUGCUUCGCCGUGACGCCCCGCCAGGAUCCAUCCCGUAUCACUGCCGCCAUGAUCCGCGCUGACCGAGCCGCCUCAUGCCGCUCCCCGCUGAGGGACGCUCU
Molecule: long non-coding RNA, 328 nt
Organism: Poecilia latipinna (sailfin molly)
Lineage: Eukaryota; Metazoa; Chordata; Actinopteri; Cyprinodontiformes; Poeciliidae
Exons: 2
Source: RefSeq, a predicted model, not a curated record